This 252-nucleotide ribosomal RNA is filed under the name uncultured bacterium. RNAcentral's name for it is "partial 16S ribosomal RNA". It matches the Rfam family "Bacterial small subunit ribosomal RNA", at positions 524 to 776 of the family's 1533-position model. The record is from RNAcentral.
UACGGGGGGGCAAGCGUUGUUCGGAAUUACUGGGCGUAAAGGGUCUGUAGGUGGCCAACUAAGUCAGACGUGAAAUCCCUCAGCUUAACUGGGGAACUGCGUCUGAUACUGGUUGGCUUGAGUGCAGGAGAGGAAUGCGGAAUUCCAGGUGUAGCGGUGAAAUGCGUAGAUAUCUGGAGGAACACCGGUGGCGAAGGCGGCAUCCUGGACCGAGAUUGACGCUGAGGCGCGAAAGCCAGGGGAGCAAACGGG